This 1176-nucleotide long non-coding RNA is filed under the name Calidris pygmaea (Spoon-billed sandpiper). RNAcentral's name for it is "lncRNA (ENSCPGG00000016465.1)". The record is from RNAcentral. Lineage: Eukaryota; Metazoa; Chordata; Aves; Charadriiformes; Scolopacidae.
CUAGCGGAGCAUCCGAGUGCACAGCAAAGCCAAGACAAACACAGCGCUGCUCUCUCCUGAAAAUGUUAGUGGUUUGAAAGAUCUCCGUUGUUGCUCCAUCCCGGAAAAUGAUUCAUCCUCCCCUCGGGGUUUUGACUUGCCUCUGCACGUUUCACAACACUGCCUGGCUUUAUAAGAGCGUGGUUGCACGCGGCGACUCCUAGCAGAUUUCUCGGCUCGGUUGCGAGCGAGGCGGCGGCUAAUCCUUCUAACGAUGAUUUUCCUCUUGCAGCAUUUCAUCUUUCUGGCCAUAGACUUAUUACUCGCGACGACCCUUUCCUGCCUCUUUUAUGCCUUUAUAUGCAUUUCCAUUGCAUUUUUGACCUGCUUCAUUAUCAUCUUCUCCUUCGGCAUUGUGGAGAGGAACAUUGAUGUGAAAGGGAGAGCAAUUGUAGUUCUCGUGUCCAACAGCUCCAUUGGGAGGAUGUUUGCAAGGAACCUGGAUAAAGCAGGUUUCAGGGUGUCUGCUGCACACUGGCCUCCUCGAGAGGAGGGGACAGCUACAGAAGAAGAGUGCUUUUCAAGCACGGAGGUAGCCCAGCUCCACAUGACUGAAGAUGAGUAUCAGAAGACAAUGAAAACCUUCAUAGAAAGCCACUUAUCCCUGAAAGGCAUGUAUGGGAUGAUGAAGAAGCCAUCAAUCCUGAUAUGGGAAGAGGAACCAGACACAUGCAGUGAGAAAUGUGAGAGAAAAACACUUGAGAGAAAAAACUCCUGUAAAUGGAAGAAGGUUUUCAAGGCUCCAGCCCUCUGUGUUGCAGUCCUCUUUUGCCCACUGAACUGUACCCUGACUUUCCUGAAGAGAAGCCUGCAGCUCCUUGUGCCUCUGCUGAAAUCCAAAAACUGAGAGGUGAGACAGCAGACUCACAGCUUAGUGAUGUGCACCUGACAGAGCUAACCAGCAUCUCCUGCAACGGUAGGUCUUUCCUCUGCUGGAAGGGUGACCCAGCUGGCAGGAAGAGGGCUGGGAAAGCCACCCAAGAGCAGCCGCCUGCCCCUUCCAGCACUCUUGACCCCUAAAGGACGCUUUCUGCACCAACCUGGCCCCAAGGAGUCCAGCCUGGGGCACAGCCACACACAGGCAACCACCUGGGGGGCAAAAAUAAACCAAAUUUGGCUUGUGUUCCCUUAACUGGU